AGAAGUAUCACCCAGUUAGUGUCUGAAUUAGGGCUGGGACUUAACACAUUCAUUUCUAUUAAUUAAUUACAGAAACAAAUAACGCGUUUAAUCGCACCUUUGUAGUUCACUAAUUCUGUCCCACCGGGAACACUGAUGAACACUCCAGCCCAGCAGGUGACGAUAAUGGAGCUAAUGUUUGGAGCUACGUUUUGGGGGUUUUCUAGUUCUUCUGGAGCUAAGUUAUGGAGUUUUUCUAGUUCUUCUGGAGCUAAGUUAUGGGGUUUUUCUAGUUCUUCUGGAGCUAAGUUAUGGGUUUUUCUAGUUCUUCUGGAGCUAAGUUAUGGGGUUUUUCUAGUUCUUCUGGAGCUAAGUUAUGGAGUUUUUCUAGUUCUUCUGGAGCUAAGUUAUGGGGUUUUUCUAGUUCUUCUGGAGCUAAGUUAUGGGUUUUUCUAGUUCUUCUGGAGCUAAGUUAUGGGGUUUUUCUAGUUCUUCUGGAGCUAAGUUAUGGAGUUUUUCUAGUUCUUCUGGAGCUAAGUUAUGGGGUUUUUCUAGUUCUUCUGGAGCUAAGUUAUGGGUUUUUCUAGUUCUUCUGGAGCUAAGUUAUGGGGUUUUUCUAGUUCUUCUGGAGCUAAGUUAUGGAGUUUUUCUAGUUCUUCUGGAGCUAAGUUAUGGGGUUUUUCUAGUUCUUCUGGAGCUAAGUUAUGGGGUUUUUCUAGUUCUUCUGGAGCUAAGUUAUGGGUUUUUCUAGUUCUUCUGGAGCUAAGUUAUGGGGUUUUUCUAGUUCUUCUGGAGCUAAGUUAUGGAGUUUUUCUAGUUCUUCUGGAGCUAAGUUAUGGGGUUUUUCUAGUUCUUCUGGAGCUAAGUUAUGGGGUUUUUCUAGUUCUUCUGGAGCUAAGUUAUGGGGUUUUUCUAGUUCUUCUGGAGCUAAGUUAUAGGGUUUCUAGUUAUUCUGGAGCUAAGUUAUAGGGUUUCUAGUUAUUCUGGAGCUAAGUUAUGGGGUUUCUAGUUAUUCUGGAGCUAAGUUAUGGGGUUUUUCUAGUUCCUCUGGAGCUAAGUUAUGGGGUUUUUCUAGUUAUUCUGGAGCUAAGUUAUAGGGUUUGUAGUUCUUCUGGAGCUAAGUUAUAGGGUUUCUAGUUCUUCUGGAGCUAAGUUAAAGGGUUUGUAGUUAUUCUGGAGCUAAGUUAUGGGGUUUUUCUAGUUAUUCUGGAGCUACGUUAUGGGGUUUUCUAGUUAUUCUGGAGCUAAGUUAUGGGGUUUUUCUAGUUAUUCUGGAGCUACGUUAUGGGUUUUCUAGUUAUUCUGGAGCUAAGUUAUGUUUUUUUUUUUUAGUUAUUCUGGAGCUACGUUAUGGGGUUUCUAGUUCUUCUGGAGCUAAGUUAUGGGGUUUUUCUAGUUCCUCUGGAGCUAAGUUAUGGGGUUUUUCUAGUUAUUCUGGAGCUAAGUUAUAGGGUUUCUAGUUCUUCUGGAGCUAAGUUAAAGGGUUUGUAGUUAUUCUGGAGCUAAGUUAUGGGGUUUUUCUAGUUAUUCUGGAGCUACGUUAUGGGGUUUUCUAGUUAUUCUGGAGCUAAGUUAUGUUUUUUUUUUUUAGUUAUUCUGGAGCUACGUUAUGGGUUUUCUAGUUAUUCUGGAGCUAAGUUAUGGUUUUUUUUUUAGUUAUUCUGGAGCUACGUUAUGGGUUUUCUAGUUAUUCUGGAGCUACGUUAUGGGUUUUCUAGUUAUUCUGGAGCUACGUUAUGGGUUUUCUAGUUAUUCUGGAGCUAAGUUAUGGGUUUGUAGUUCUUCUGGAGCUAAGUUAUAGGGUUUCUAGUUCUUCUGGAGCUAAGUUAUGGGGUUUUUCUAGUUCUUCUGGAGCUAAGUUAUGGGGUUUCUAGUUCUUCUGGAGCUAAGUUAUGGGGUUUUUCUAGUUAUUCUGGAGCUAAGUUAUGGGGUUUUUCUAGUUCUUCUGGAACUAAGUUAUGGGGUUUUUCUAGUUCUUCUCGAGCUAAGUUAUGGGGUUUUUCUAGUUCCUCUGGAGCUAAGUUAUGGGGUUUUUCUAGUUAUUCUGGAGCUAAGUUAUAGGGUUUGUAGUUCUUCUGGAGCUAAGUUAUAGGGUUUCUAGUUCUUCUGGAGCUAAGUUAAAGGGUUUGUAGUUAUUCUGGAGCUAAGUUAUGGGGUUUUUCUAGUUAUUCUGGAGCUACGUUAUGGGGUUUUCUAGUUAUUCUGGAGCUAAGUUAUGGGGUUUUUCUAGUUAUUCUGGAGCUAAGUUAUGGUUUUUUUUUUAGUUAUUCUGGAACUACGUUAUGGGUUUUCUAGUUAUUCUGGAGCUAAGUUAUGGUUUUUUUUUUAGUUAUUCUGGAGCUACGUUAUGGGUUUUCUAGUUAUUCUGGAGCUACGUUAUGGGUUUUCUAGUUAUUCUGGAGCUACGUUAUGGGUUUUCUAGUUAUUCUGGAGCUAAGUUAUGGGUUUGUAGUUCUUCUGGAGCUAAGUUAUGGGGUUUUUCUAGUUCUUCUGGAGCUAAGUUAUGGAGUUUUUCUAGUUCUUCUGGAACUAAGUUAUGGGGUUUUUCUAGUUCUUCUGGAGCUAAGUUAUGGGGUUUUUCUAGUUAUUCUGGAGCUAAGUUAUAGGGUUUGUAGUUCUUCUGGAGCUAAGUUAUAGGGUUUCUAGUUCUUCUGGAGCUAAGUUAAAGGGUUUGUAGUUAUUCUGGAGCUAAGUUAUGGGGUUUUUCUAGUUAUUCUGGAGCUACGUUAUGGGGUUUUCUAGUUAUUCUGGAGCUAAGUUAUGGGGUUUUUCUAGUUAUUCUGGAGCUACGUUAUGGGUUUUCUAGUUAUUCUGGAGCUAAGUUAUGUUUUUUUUUUUAGUUAUUCUGGAGCUACGUUAUGGGGUUUUUCUAGUUCUUCUGGAGCUAAGUUAUGGGGUUUUUCUAGUUCCUCUGGAGCUAAGUUAUGGGGUUUUUCUAGUUCUUCUGGAGCUAAGUUAUGGGGUUUCUAGUUCUUCUGGAGCUAAGUUAUGGGGUUUUUCUAGUUCUUCUGGAGCUAAGUUAUGGGGUUUUUCUAGUUCUUCUGGAACUAAGUUAUGGGGUUUUUCUAGUUAUUCUGGAGCUAAGUUAUGGUUUUUUUUUUUUAGUUAUUCUGGAGCUACGUUAUGGGUUUUCUAGUUAUUCUGGAGCUAAGUUAUGGUUUUUUUUUUAGUUAUUCUGGAGCUACGUUAUGGGUUUUCUAGUUAUUCUGGAGCUACGUUAUGGGUUUUCUAGUUAUUCUGGAGCUACGUUAUGGGUUUUCUAGUUAUUCUGGAGCUAAGUUAUGGGUUUGUAGUUCUUCUGGAGCUAAGUUAUGGGGUUUUUCUAGUUCUUCUGGAGCUAAGUUAUGGAGUUUUUCUAGUUCUUCUGGAACUAAGUUAUGGGGUUUUUCUAGUUCUUCUGGAGCUAAGUUAUGGGGUUUUUCUAGUUAUUCUGGAGCUAAGUUAUAGGGUUUGUAGUUCUUCUGGAGCUAAGUUAUAGGGUUUCUAGUUCUUCUGGAGCUAAGUUAAAGGGUUUCUAGUUCUUCUGGAGCUAAGUUAUGGGGUUUUUCUAGUUAUUCUGGAGCUACGUUAUGGGGUUUUCUAGUUAUUCUGGAGCUAAGUUAUGGGGUUUUUCUAGUUAUUCUGGAGCUACGUUAUGGGUUUUCUAGUUAUUCUGGAGCUAAGUUAUGUUUUUUUUUUUUUAGUUAUUCUGGAGCUACGUUAUGGGGUUUUUCUAGUUCUUCUGGAGCUAAGUUAUGGGGUUUUUCUAGUUCCUCUGGAGCUAAGUUAUGGGGUUUUUCUAGUUAUUCUGGAGCUAAGUUAUAGGGUUUGUAGUUCUUCUGGAGCUAAGUUAUAGGGUUUCUAGUUCUUCUGGAGCUAAGUUAAAGGGUUUGUAGUUAUUCUGGAGCUAAGUUAUGGGGUUUUUCUAGUUAUUCUGGAGCUAAGUUAUGAGUUUUUCUAGUUAUUCUGGAGCUAAGUUAUGGGUUUUCUAGUUAUUCUGGAGCUAAGUUAUGGGGUUUUUCUAGUUAUUCUGGAGCUACGUUAUGGGGUUUUCUAGUUAUUCUGGAGCUAAGUUAUGGGGUUUUUCUAGUUAUUCUGGAGCUAUGUUAUGGGUUUUUCUAGUUAUUCUGGAGCUAAGUUAUGGGGUUUUUCUAGUUAUUCUGGAGCUAAGUUAUGGGGUUUUUCUAGUUCUUCUGGAGCUAAGUUAUGGGGUUUCUAGUUCUUCUGGAGCUAAGUUAUGGGGUUUUUCUAGUUCUUCUGGAGCUAAGUUAUGGGGUUUUUCUAGUUCUUCUGGAACUAAGUUAUGGGGUUUUUCUAGUUAUUCUGGAGCUAAGUUAUGGUUUUUUUUUUUAGUUAUUCUGGAGCUACGUUAUGGGUUUUCUAGUUAUUCUGGAGCUAAGUUAUGGUUUUUUUUUUAGUUAUUCUGGAGCUACGUUAUGGGUUUUCUAGUUAUUCUGGAGCUACGUUAUGGGUUUUCUAGUUAUUCUGGAGCUACGUUAUGGGUUUUCUAGUUAUUCUGGAGCUAAGUUAUGGGUUUGUAGUUCUUCUGGAGCUAAGUUAUGGGGUUUUUCUAGUUCUUCUGGAGCUAAGUUAUGGAGUUUUUCUAGUUCUUCUGGAACUAAGUUAUGGGGUUUUUCUAGUUCUUCUGGAGCUAAGUUAUGGGGUUUUUCUAGUUAUUCUGGAGCUAAGUUAUAGGGUUUGUAGUUCUUCUGGAGCUAAGUUAUAGGGUUUCUAGUUCUUCUGGAGCUAAGUUAAAGGGUUUGUAGUUAUUCUGGAGCUAAGUUAUGGGGUUUUUCUAGUUAUUCUGGAGCUACGUUAUGGGGUUUUCUAGUUAUUCUGGAGCUAAGUUAUGGGGUUUUUCUAGUUAUUCUGGAGCUACGUUAUGGGUUUUCUAGUUAUUCUGGAGCUAAGUUAUGUUUUUUUUUUUUUAGUUAUUCUGGAGCUACGUUAUGGGGUUUUUCUAGUUCUUCUGGAGCUAAGUUAUGGGGUUUUUCUAGUUCCUCUGGAGCUAAGUUAUGGGGUUUUUCUAGUUAUUCUGGAGCUAAGUUAUAGGGUUUGUAGUUCUUCUGGAGCUAAGUUAUAGGGUUUCUAGUUCUUCUGGAGCUAAGUUAAAGGGUUUGUAGUUAUUCUGGAGCUAAGUUAUGGGGUUUUUCUAGUUAUUCUGGAGCUAAGUUAUGAGUUUUUCUAGUUAUUCUGGAGCUAAGUUAUGGGUUUUCUAGUUAUUCUGGAGCUAAGUUAUGGGGUUUUUCUAGUUAUUCUGGAGCUACGUUAUGGGGUUUUCUAGUUAUUCUGGAGCUAAGUUAUGGGGUUUUUCUAGUUAUUCUGGAGCUAUGUUAUGGGUUUUUCUAGUUAUUCUGGAGCUAAGUUAUGGGGUUUUUCUAGUUAUUCUGGAGCUAAGUUAUGGGGUUUUUCUAGUUAUUCUGGAGCUAAGUUAUGGGUUUGUAGUUCUUCUGGAGCUAAGUUAUGGGGUUUUUCUAGUUCUUCUGGAGCUAAGUUAUGGAGUUUUUCUAGUUCUUCUGGAACUAAGUUAUGGGGUUUUUCUAGUUCUUCUGGAGCUAAGUUAUGGGGUUUUUCUAGUUAUUCUGGAGCUAAGUUAUAGGGUUUGUAGUUCUUCUGGAGCUAAGUUAUAGGGUUUCUAGUUCUUCUGGAGCUAAGUUAAAGGGUUUGUAGUUAUUCUGGAGCUAAGUUAUGGGGUUUUUCUAGUUAUUCUGGAGCUACGUUAUGGGGUUUUCUAGUUAUUCUGGAGCUAAGUUAUGGGGUUUUUCUAGUUAUUCUGGAGCUACGUUAUGGGUUUUCUAGUUAUUCUGGAGCUAAGUUAUGUUUUUUUUUUUUAGUUAUUCUGGAGCUACGUUAUGGGGUUUUUCUAGUUCUUCUGGAGCUAAGUUAUGGGGUUUUUCUAGUUCCUCUGGAGCUAAGUUAUGGGGUUUUUCUAGUUAUUCUGGAGCUAAGUUAUAGGGUUUGUAGUUCUUCUGGAGCUAAGUUAUAGGGUUUCUAGUUCUUCUGGAGCUAAGUUAAAGGGUUUGUAGUUAUUCUGGAGCUAAGUUAUGGGGUUUUUCUAGUUAUUCUGGAGCUAAGUUAUGAGUUUUUCUAGUUAUUCUGGAGCUAAGUUAUGGGUUUUCUAGUUAUUCUGGAGCUAAGUUAUGGGGUUUUUCUAGUUAUUCUGGAGCUACGUUAUGGGGUUUUCUAGUUAUUCUGGAGCUAAGUUAUGGGGUUUUUCUAGUUAUUCUGGAGCUAUGUUAUGGGUUUUUCUAGUUAUUCUGGAGCUAAGUUAUGGGGUUUUUCUAGUUAUUCUGGAGCUAAGUUAUGGGGUUUUUCUAGUUAUUCUGGAGCUAAGUUAUGGGGUUUUUCUAGUUAUUCUGGAGCUAAGUUAUGGGGUUUUUCUAGUUAUUCUGGAGCUAAGUUAUGGGUUUUCUAGUUACUCUGCUGUUGGCUACAGACCGACACACUGCUGCUUCGGUACCACCCGUGUGAUUUUAAUAAGAUCAGUUUUCAGCUCAGAUUUGGUGAAGUUUCCAGACCAAAUGUCAUUUCACACAGUAGUUUUUAUGUUUCAAAGGUUUAAUUGUCUUUCUGCAGCCCACUAAUUUCUAAUGUUUGCGGGUCUUUUUCUGUGUUUUCUUGUUCUUUCCCGUCACACUAACCACCUCCUCUCCCUGCUGGU
Acanthochromis polyacanthus (spiny chromis) is the source of this 6619-nucleotide long non-coding RNA. RefSeq lists it as uncharacterized. The transcript has 5 exons. NCBI's taxonomy places the organism in Eukaryota, Metazoa, Chordata, Actinopteri, Pomacentridae. The record is from RefSeq and is a predicted model, not a curated record.